CCUUUCUUAGUAUAUAAAAGUACAUAUAGCUUCCAACUAUAAAGAUUAUAUUUAAAGAAAGAA
RNAcentral lists this transfer RNA (63 nucleotides) under Cryptocellus narino. RNAcentral's name for it is "tRNA-Gly". The record is from RNAcentral. Lineage: Eukaryota; Metazoa; Arthropoda; Arachnida; Ricinulei; Ricinoididae.